RNAcentral lists this ribosomal RNA (465 nucleotides) under Vreelandella stevensii. RNAcentral's name for it is "partial 16S ribosomal RNA". It matches the Rfam family "Bacterial small subunit ribosomal RNA", at positions 338 to 795 of the family's 1533-position model. Lineage: Bacteria; Pseudomonadati; Pseudomonadota; Gammaproteobacteria; Oceanospirillales; Halomonadaceae. The record is from RNAcentral.
UCUACGGGGCGCAGCAGUGGGGAAUAUUGGACAAUGGGCGAAAGCCUGAUCCAGCCAUGCCGCGUGUGUGAAGAAGGCCUUCGGGUUGUAAAGCACUUUCAGUGGGGAAGAAAGCCUUGGGGCUAAUACCCUCGAGGAAGGACAUCACCCACAGAAGAAGCACCGGCUAACUCCGUGCCAGCAGCCGCGGUAAUACGGAGGGUGCGAGCGUUAAUCGGAAUUACUGGGCGUAAAGCGCGCGUAGGCGGUCUGAUAAGCCGGUUGUGAAAGCCCCGGGCUCAACCUGGGAACGGCAUCCGGAACUGUCAGGCUAGAGUGCAGGAGAGGAAGGUAGAAUUCCCGGUGUAGCGGUGAAAUGCGUAGAGAUCGGGAGGAAUACCAGUGGCGAAGGCGGCCUUCUGGACUGACACUGACGCUGAGGUGCGAAAGCGUGGGUAGCAAACAGGAUUAGAUACCCUAGUAGUC